RNAcentral lists this ribosomal RNA (801 nucleotides) under uncultured archaeon. RNAcentral describes it as "bacterial SSU rRNA". It matches the Rfam family "Archaeal small subunit ribosomal RNA", at positions 1 to 783 of the family's 1478-position model. The record is from RNAcentral.
UUCCGGUUGAUCCUGCCGGACCCCACUGCUAUCGAGAUGGGACUAAGGUAUGCUAGUCGAACGACCAGAACUAUGUCUGGGAGUGGCACACUGCUCAGUAACACGUAGCUAACCUACCCUUAGGACGUGGAUACCCCCGAGAAAUUGGGGUUAAUCCGCGAUAGAUGUAAUGUCCUGGAAUGGUAUUACGUCUAAAGGUAUUUCAUACAUGUUUGAAAUAUGCCUAAGGAUGGGGCUGCGGCCGAUCAGGCUGUUGGUGAGGUAAUGGCUCACCAAACCUUUGACCGGUACGGGCCAUGAGAGUGGUAGCCCGGAGAUGGACACUGAGACAAGGGUCCAGGCCCUAAGGGGCGCAGCAACCGCGAAACCUCCACAAUGCACUCACGUGCGAUGGGGCUAUCUCGAGUGCCACCUGAUGAAGGUGGCUUUUCCUUGGUCUUCAAAGCCUUGGGAAUAAGAGGGGGGCAAGACUGGUGUCAGCCGCCGCGGUAACACCAGCCCCUCGAGUGGUGGGGAUGAUUAUUUGGCCUAAAGCGUCCGUAGCCGGCCGUGAAAGUCUUCCGUUAAAUCCAGCGUCUCAAGCGUUGGACCGCGGGAGAUACUACAUGGCUAGAGAGUGGGAGAGGUCAGCGGUAUUCUGGGGGUAGGGGCGAAAUCCUUUGAUCCCCGGAGGACCACCAGUGGCGAAGGCUGCUGACUAGAACACGUCUGACGGUCAGGGACGAAAGCUGGGGUAGCGAACCGGAUUAGAUACCCGGGUAGUCCCAGCCGUAAACGAUGCAUGCUAGGUGUUGGGUUGGC